AACGCUAUCGGGGUGGGCACUAAGCCAUGGUAAGUCGUACGCCCACACAAGCGGUGGGCGUGGCGGACGGCUGAGUAACACGUGGCUAACCUACCCUCGGGACGGGGAUAGCCCCGGGAAACUGGGGCUAAUCCCCGAUAGGUGGAGGGGCCUGGAACGGUCCUCCACCGAAAGGGUCAGGCCGCGAUGAAGGCCUGACCGCCCGAGGAUGGGGCUGCGGCCCAUCAUGGUAGUUGGCGGGGUAACGGCCCGCCAAGCCGAUAACGGGUAGGGGCCCCGAGAGCGGGAGCCCCCAGAUGGGCACUGAGACAAGGGCCCAGGCCCUACGGGGUGCACCAGGCGCGAAACCUCCGCAAUGCAGGGAAACCGUGACGGGGUCACCCCGAGUGCCCCGAAGAGGGGCUUUUCCCCGCUGUAAGUAGGCGGGGGUAAUAAGCGGGGGGCAAGUCUGGUGUCAGCWGCYGCGGUAAUACCAGCCCCGYGAGUGGUCGGRACGUUUACUGGGCCUAAAGCGCCCGUAGCCGGCCCAGUAAGUCCCCACAGAAAUCCUCGGGCUCAACCCGAGGGCCUGUGGGGAUACUGCUGGGCUAGGGGGCGGGAGAGGCCGAGGGUACUCCCGGGGUAGGGGCGAAAUCCGAUAAUCCCGGGAGGACCACCAGUGGCGAAAGCGCUCGGCAGGAACGCGCCCGACGGUGAGGGGCGAAAGCCGGGGGAGCGAACCGGAUUAGAUACCCGGGUAGUCCCGGCUGUAAACGAUGCGGGCUAGGUGUUGGGCGGGCUUUGAGCCCGCCCAGUGCCGCAGGGAAGCCGUUAAGCCCGCCGCCUGGGGAGUACGGCCGCAAGGCUGAAACUUAAAGGAAUUGGCGGGGGAGCACCACAAGGGGUGNAGGCUCSNUU
Molecule: ribosomal RNA, 897 nt
Filed under: uncultured archaeon
Lineage: Archaea
Description: bacterial SSU rRNA
Rfam family: Archaeal small subunit ribosomal RNA
Source: RNAcentral